Telopea speciosissima is the source of this 319-nucleotide long non-coding RNA. RefSeq lists it as uncharacterized. Lineage: Eukaryota; Viridiplantae; Streptophyta; Magnoliopsida; Proteales; Proteaceae. The record is from RefSeq and is a predicted model, not a curated record. The transcript has 2 exons.
CCAGCAUUACAAAUAAUUUAUGCUUCCUUAAUAUUUUCUCAUUAUAAUUUCUCUCUUCUAAUUGAUAGAUGUUUUCUCAUAACAAUUUUAUAAUUUCAUUUGUGUAGGUCAAGAGUCAUCCAGUGAAAGCUCAAUCACCUGAUCAAUCUGGAAGUGUGAUCCUUGCCAAGGAACCUACAUUGCAAUAGGUGAAAUGCCAGCCAAGGUGCAAAAAUAUAAAAUCUGAUGUGUAAGACUGGAAUAACAUCAGUAAUUGAAUCAUUGUUGUCAAUUACAGCCUUCUUCCCCCUUUCCGUUAUAGUGGGAUGAAACUUAUUUU